AGACCUUCAACAGAUAGUGGAAAACUUGUCGGUGGAAGGCAAACCAAAAACAGAGGAGGCAUAAAGAAAACAGAGUAUCAGCUCUUCUUCUAUUUACAAGUAUACAAAACCAAAACACAAGAAAAUGUGAUAGCAAAAAACAACCCCAAAGAGAAAAGCCAAAACAAAAAGGAAAGCAGAAGAUCAUCACUCAUCACACAGAGGUGCUGAGAAUUGUUUUAGGGUCUGUAUGGUUAACGUCCUGUGAAUUUUGUAUAGCUCCACAAGUGCGCUGAUGGCUGUAUUUUUGUAAGCCAUUCCAGGAUUAGUGACUGACCAGCUGAUCUCCUCUAAGUUGAGCACUUCCUAUCUUCUGUAAGUAAGAAGCCAUCCAAAACAAAUAGCAGCUCAUUUAGUCAUCCGCUCUGCAUUUUCGGUCAGAGCUUUCUCCUUUACCUUGUUUCCGCGGAGUUGCAGUUUGCAAGUGAAAGUGACCCCAACUCUGCUUAUUUAUGUAGCCGCUCAAGGUAUUUUCUUCUUUCGGUUUCUCUCUCUCUCUCUGUCUUUCACUCACUCUUUUUGGCCUUUUCAGUCUCAGAAAAUUUUUCUGAAUACUGAAUAGUAUUGUUUCAGAAGCAAAGUUUCUGCAAUUUUUUCUACUUAUUUCUACUUGGCUUGCUUUAUUUAAUACCUAAUUUCUUCAAAAUAUUUCUUUAAUGAUUGAUUACUUAGGUGGAGUGUCCCUUCACAAUGGGAGGUCGUGGCUUUCAAAAAUUUAUAUAUAUUUUAUAUAUUUUUAAUAAGUUUUCAAAAUAAUAUUUUAUUAAAUUAUUAAUAUAAAUUAAAAAUAAUAAAAUGAUUUUACAAAUUCAUUUAACUUUAUCAUA
This is a long non-coding RNA of Theobroma umbraticum, 866 nucleotides long. RefSeq lists it as uncharacterized. Lineage: Eukaryota; Viridiplantae; Streptophyta; Magnoliopsida; Malvales; Malvaceae. The record is from RefSeq and is a predicted model, not a curated record.